AUGAACGACUAUUGAUGACUUGAAGUAUAUCAUAUUAUGUUUUUUCAUUAAGGCAUACAUGAUAUUUACAUCUGUUAUGGUGCACUUUGGCAAUAGUUGGGAGGUUUAUGAUAAUAUUAUUUAGUGAAGAGCUACAUUGAUAUUUGUUUUCAAGAUUUACGUUUUAUGUGCAAUUUGAUCUUUGUGCAUAGUUAUUUUAUUCUUUUACUCAUUAUUCCAAUAGCAAGAUUGCCUUCUUCUGCA
RNAcentral lists this unclassified non-coding RNA (243 nucleotides) under Hevea brasiliensis (rubber tree). Lineage: Eukaryota; Viridiplantae; Streptophyta; Magnoliopsida; Malpighiales; Euphorbiaceae. The record is from RNAcentral.